UUGAAAAAAAUGAAUCUCAAGUUACGAAAAAAUUUGUGUAAAUUCAAGUGAGACCCAAUUAAUACAAUUUAAUAUUUCAAAUUGAAGGCCGGAUCCCAAUUCCGUCUUUACUUUUCCCGCUCGCCGCCGGGCAAUCUUCUCUCUCCCUCUCUGGUGGUGGCCAUGAAAUUGCUUGGCGGGAAUCUACAGAGAAGCUUUCCCCAAUUUUUAAGUUAGUUGGGAAAGGGGGAGGGGUGGAGGUAUUUGCAUUGAAAUGAAAUUGCAGAGUUGGGUAUUCUUCUGGUUUAAGCACGCGGCGAGGAGUGACUGCUUUCCCAAAUAUGGCAUCGGAAAUUUUCUCUUUCACCGGGCGCAAGAUAGAACAACAACUACUACUACAACAACCAAGCCUCAAGUCCAUGUGCUUUCUCACUUGGGCCAUCCUGGUAGCAGGUGAAAGCAUCUCUCUUCAACACAGCAGAUCACAACAUUAACAGGUCAGGGUGAAAAGGUGAGAGGAAAGGGGAUCCCCUGCCUGAACUUGUACUCUGGAGAAUGGAGAUAAUCCAAUGUUAAAGUGAAAUGGAGCUACAAUUAGAUUCAGCAAUUGCUGUGUAUGUUAUGUGGUUUUUAGUAGGAUGUUCUCUAAAGAAACCUGGCUGGUUAGAGGCUCUAAAUACAUGAAUCAUACUCACUAACCUGUUUGCUGGAAUUUCCAGUAUGUGUGUGUGUGUGUGUGUAUUUAACAGAUUACAGAUAUGUAAUAUAGACAUGUUUGUCUGCAA
Malania oleifera is the source of this 764-nucleotide long non-coding RNA. RefSeq lists it as uncharacterized. Lineage: Eukaryota; Viridiplantae; Streptophyta; Magnoliopsida; Santalales; Ximeniaceae. The transcript has 2 exons. The record is from RefSeq and is a predicted model, not a curated record.